Long non-coding RNA from Rhincodon typus (whale shark), 338 nucleotides. RefSeq lists it as uncharacterized. The record is from RefSeq and is a predicted model, not a curated record. The transcript has 4 exons. NCBI's taxonomy places the organism in Eukaryota, Metazoa, Chordata, Chondrichthyes, Orectolobiformes, Rhincodontidae.
GAGAGAGAAAAGAAAGAAGACAAAGAAAGAAAAGAUCGCAAAAGGGAUCAUUCAAACAGUGAUCGAGAGAAUAUACAAGAAUCAAAAAGGCGUAAAGAUGAAAAUGGGACAGGUGGCUCUGGGAAAAGGAGUAAAAGUGCAAGCCCUGCAGAUUCCCCACGUUCAAACGAAAAGGAGAAAAAUAAGAGUUCAAAAUCUAGCUCUGGUAAAGACCGGGAUAAAAAUGAUUCAAUCAAGCUAGAAAAAAUAGAAAAGAGUUCAACAACAAGCAAGAAGGAAUCUAGACAUGAUAAAGGAGAGAAAAAAGAGAAGCGUGAGAGUGGAGGUCUGAAAGAAGA